CUGUAUGAAGCCGGAAUUGCUAGUAAUGGCAGGUCAGCAUACUGCCGUGAAUACGUUCCCGGGCCUUGUACACACCGCCCGUCACACCAUGAGAGUUGGGGAUACCCAAAGCCCGUGAGCCAACUUUUAGAGGCAGCGGUCUAAGGUAGAAUCAAUGAUUGGGGUGAAGUCGUAACAAGGUAAC
RNAcentral lists this ribosomal RNA (184 nucleotides) under uncultured bacterium. RNAcentral describes it as "partial 16S ribosomal RNA". It matches the Rfam family "Bacterial small subunit ribosomal RNA", at positions 1316 to 1500 of the family's 1533-position model. The record is from RNAcentral.